GGGUUGUGAGGUUAAGCGACUAAGCGUACACGGUGGAUGCCCUGGCAGUCAGAGGCGAUGAAGGACGUGCUAAUCUGCGAUAAGCGUCGGUAAGGUGAUAUGAACCGUUAUAACCGGCGAUUUCCGAAUGGGGAAACCCAGUGUGAUUCGUCACACUAUCAUUAACUGAAUCCAUAGGUUAAUGAGGCGAACCGGGGGAACUGAAACAUCUAAGUACCCCGAGGAAAAGAAAUCAACCGAGAUUCCCCCAGUAGCGGCGAGCGAACGGGGAGCAGCCCAGAGCCUGAAUCAGUGUGUGUGUUAGUGGAAGCGUCUGGAAAGGCGUGCGAUACAGGGUGACAGCCCCGUACACAAAAAUGCACAUACUGUGAGCUCGAUGAGUAGGGCGGGACACGUGGUAUCCUGUCUGAAUAUGGGGGGACCAUCCUCCAAGGCUAAAUACUCCUGACUGACCGAUAGUGAACCAGUACCGUGAGGGAAAGGCGAAAAGAACCCCGGCGAGGGGAGUGAAAAAGAACCUGAAACCGUGUACGUACAAGCAGUGGGAGCACGCUUAGGCGUGUGACUGCGUACCUUUGUAUAAUGGGUCAGCGACUUAUAUUCUGUAGCAAGGUUAACCGAAUAGGGGAGCCGAAGGGAAACCGAGUCUUAACUGGGCGUUAAGUUGCAGGGUAUAGACCCGAAUCCCGGGGAUCCAGCCAUGGGCAGGUUGAAGGUUGGGUAACACUAACUGGAGGACCGAACCGACUAAUGUUGAAAAAUUAGCGGAUGACUUGUGGCUGGGGGUGAAAGGCCAAUCAAACCGGGAGAUAGCUGGUUCUCCCCGAAAGCUAUUUAGGUAGCGCCUCGUGAAUUCAUCUCCGGGGGUAGAGCACUGUUUCGGCAAGGGGGUCAUCCCGACUUACCAACCCGAUGCAAACUGCGAAUACCGGAGAAUGUUAUCACGGGAGACACACGGCGGGUGCUAACGUCCGUCGUGAAGAGGGAAACAACCCAGACCGCCAGCUAAGGUCCCAAAGUCAUGGUUAAGUGGGAAACGAUGUGGGAAGGCCCAGACAGCCAUGAUGUUGGCUUAGAAGCAGCCAUCAUUUAAAGAAAGCGUAAUAGCUCACUGGUCGAGUCGGCCUGCGCGGAAGAUGUAACGGGGCUAAACCAUGCACCGAAGCUGCGGCAGCGACGCUUAUGCGUUGUUGGGUAGGGGAGCGUUCUGUAAGCCUGUGAAGGUGUGCUGUGAGGUAUGCUGGAGGUAUCAGAAGUGCGAAUGCUGACAUAAGUAACGAUAAAGCGGGUGAAAAGCCCGCUCGCCGGAAGACCAAGGGUUCCUGUCCAACGUUAAUCGGGGCAGGGUGAGUCGACCCCUAAGGCGAGGCCGAAAGGCGUAGUCGAUGGGAAACAGGUUAAUAUUCCUGUACUUGGUGUUACUGCGAAGGGGGGACGGAGAAGGCUAUGUUGGCCGGGCGACGGUUGUCCCGGUUUAAGCGUGUAGGCUGGUUUUCCGUGCAAAUCCGGAAAAUCAAGGCCGAGGCGUGAUGACGAGGCACUACGGUGCUGAAGCAACAAAUGCCCUGCUUCCAGGAAAGCCUCUAAGCAUCAGGUAACAUCAAAUCGUACCCCAAACCGACACAGGUGGUCAGGUAGAGAAUACCAAGGCGCUUGAGAGAACUCGGGUGAAGGAACUAGGCAAAAUGGUGCCGUAACUUCGGGAGAAGGCACGCUGAUACGUAGGUGAAGCGACUUGCUCGUGGAGCUGAAAUCAGUCGAAGAUACCAGCUGGCUGCAACUGUUUAUUAAAAACACAGCACUGUGCAAACACGAAAGUGGACGUAUACGGUGUGACGCCUGCCCGGUGCCGGAAGGUUAAUUGAUGGGGUUAGCGCAAGCGAAGCUCUUGAUCGAAGCCCCGGUAAACGGCGGCCGUAACUAUAACGGUCCUAAGGUAGCGAAAUUCCUUGUCGGGUAAGUUCCGACCUGCACGAAUGGCGUAAUGAUGGCCAGGCUGUCUCCACCCGAGACUCAGUGAAAUUGAACUCGCUGUGAAGAUGCAGUGUACCCGCGGCAAGACGGAAAGACCCCGUGAACCUUUACUAUAGCUUGACACUGAACAUUGAGCCUUGAUGUGUAGGAUAGGUGGGAGGCUUUGAAGUGUGGACGCCAGUCUGCAUGGAGCCGACCUUGAAAUACCACCCUUUAAUGUUUGAUGUUCUAACGUGGACCCGUGAUCCGGGUUGCGGACAGUGUCUGGUGGGUAGUUUGACUGGGGCGGUCUCCUCCUAAAGAGUAACGGAGGAGCACGAAGGUUGGCUAAUCCUGGUCGGACAUCAGGAGGUUAGUGCAAUGGCAUAAGCCAGCUUGACUGCGAGCGUGACGGCGCGAGCAGGUGCGAAAGCAGGUCAUAGUGAUCCGGUGGUUCUGAAUGGAAGGGCCAUCGCUCAACGGAUAAAAGGUACUCCGGGGAUAACAGGCUGAUACCGCCCAAGAGUUCAUAUCGACGGCGGUGUUUGGCACCUCGAUGUCGGCUCAUCACAUCCUGGGGCUGAAGUAGGUCCCAAGGGUAUGGCUGUUCGCCAUUUAAAGUGGUACGCGAGCUGGGUUUAGAACGUCGUGAGACAGUUCGGUCCCUAUCUGCCGUGGGCGCUGGAGAACUGAGGGGGGCUGCUCCUAGUACGAGAGGACCGGAGUGGACGCAUCACUGGUGUUCGGGUUGUCAUGCCAAUGGCACUGCCCGGUAGCUAAAUGCGGAAGAGAUAAGUGCUGAAAGCAUCUAAGCACGAAACUUGCCCCGAGAUGAGUUCUCCCUGACCCUUUAAGGGUCCUGAAGGAACGUUGAAGACGACGACGUUGAUAGGCCGGGUGUGUAAGCGCAGCGAUGCGUUGAGCUAACCGGUACUAAUGAACCGUGAGGCUUAACCUUACAACGCCGAAG
This 2923-nucleotide ribosomal RNA is filed under the name Shigella flexneri. RNAcentral's name for it is "23S ribosomal RNA". It matches the Rfam family "Bacterial large subunit ribosomal RNA". Lineage: Bacteria; Pseudomonadati; Pseudomonadota; Gammaproteobacteria; Enterobacterales; Enterobacteriaceae. The record is from RNAcentral.